This 518-nucleotide ribosomal RNA is filed under the name uncultured Gallionella sp. RNAcentral describes it as "bacterial SSU rRNA". It matches the Rfam family "Bacterial small subunit ribosomal RNA", at positions 387 to 896 of the family's 1533-position model. Lineage: Bacteria; Pseudomonadati; Pseudomonadota; Betaproteobacteria; Nitrosomonadales; Gallionellaceae. The record is from RNAcentral.
UCCAGCCAUGCCGCGUGAGUGAAGAAGGCCUUCGGGUUGUAAAGCUCUUUCAGACGGAAAGAAACGGUGACGACUAAUACUCGGGACGAAUGACGGUACCGUCAGAAGAAGCACCGGCUAACUACGUGCCAGCAGCCGCGGUAAUACGUAGGGUGCGAGCGUUAAUCGGAAUUACUGGGCGUAAAGCGUGCGCAGGCGGUUUGGUAAGACAGAUGUGAAAUCCCCGGGCUUAACCUGGGAACUGCAUUUGUGACUGCCAGACUAGAGUGCGGCAGAGGGGGGUAGAAUUCCACGUGUAGCAGUGAAAUGCGUAGAUAUGUGGAGGAAUACCGAUGGCGAAGGCAGCCCCCUGGGUCGACACUGACGCUCAUGCACGAAAGCGUGGGGAGCAAACAGGAUUAGAUACCCUGGUAGUCCACGCCCUAAACGAUGUCAACUAGUUGUUGGGGAAGGAGACUUCUUUAGUAACGUAGCUAACGCGCUAAGUUGACCGCCUGGGGAGUACGGUCGCAAGAUUA